AGCAAUUCAUCUGCCUCUGUCACCUUGGUGUUGUAGGUGGCAUGGUGGGCUUCGAGUGACGGGAACUUGGAGAUUACGGUAUCUAUCCAUGAUUGGUCUUCUUCGAUGAAAACAGUGCGGCCACCGUGGUUGAGGGCGGCCCACAUGAGACUGUCGUGGCCGAGGCCGAAGACGAGGAAGUUGCAGGGGGCUUUACGGGCGAGGACUCGGGCUGUGA
Molecule: unclassified non-coding RNA, 217 nt
Filed under: Hevea brasiliensis (rubber tree)
Lineage: Eukaryota; Viridiplantae; Streptophyta; Magnoliopsida; Malpighiales; Euphorbiaceae
Source: RNAcentral